GGGCCCGCACAAGCAGCGGAGCGUGUGGUUUAAUUCGAUGCUACACGAAGAACCUUACCAGGGUUUGACAUGCAAGUGGUAGGAAACCGAAAGGCGACCGACCCUUCGGGAGCUUGCACAGGUGCUGCAUGGCUGUCGUCAGCUCGUGUCGUGAGAUGUUCGGUUAAGUCCGCUAACGAGCGCAACCCUCGCUGUGUGUUACAAGUGUCACACGGUACUGCCGGUCUUAAGCCGGAGGAAGGUGGGGAUGACGUCAAGUCAGCAUGGCCUUUAUGUCCUGGGCUACACACACGCUACAAUGGCCAACACAAUAGGUUGCUAAGCCGCGAGGUGGAGCCAAUCCUCAAAGUUGGUCUCAGUUCAGAUUGCAGGCUGCAACCCGCCUGCAUGAAGAUGGAGUUGCUAGUAACCGCAGGUCAGCUAUACUGCGGUGAAUACGUUCCCGGGGCUU
This 451-nucleotide ribosomal RNA is filed under the name uncultured Leptolinea sp. Its description in RNAcentral is "bacterial SSU rRNA". It matches the Rfam family "Bacterial small subunit ribosomal RNA", at positions 917 to 1382 of the family's 1533-position model. Lineage: Bacteria; Bacillati; Chloroflexota; Anaerolineae; Anaerolineales; Anaerolineaceae. The record is from RNAcentral.